UGUUGUUUUUUUUUUAGAUUUAGAUUUUUAAAAAAAGUUUUAUACAUUUUAACAUUUUUUUCGACCAAUGAAAAAGAAGCAUUUAUUUCUUUUAAGCUCGCGAUAUUCGGCACAAACUGGAUUAUUUAGUCUUCACUCUAGAGCGUACACACGUGGAUCAAAUUAGAGCUAGCUAGAUCUAGAUCUAAAUCUAGUUGAAGAUAUCUACUUGGUAGUCUAAACCUCAAAGGAGCUUAGGGAAGUGAUGGCAGUUGCAGGGUAUGAACCAGACGACCAUGCAGAGACCAACGAAGCGACCAAACAGUCCAUCGUGCAUACCACAUAACCAAGUCCAGAAUGCCAGUUUUCUUUAAGGGCAGCUGACAAUAAGAAUUGUCUAUGUAUGCACUACAGAUGCUGUUCAAUAUCUUUUCAUGAGGAAGCCUGCUCAAAAAGAUCGCCACAUUUUCUUUAGGGGAAGUUGACAUUAAUCUUUUAGGUUAAUAAUAAUCUAUGCAUGCAGUACAGAUGCUGUUCAUCAUCUUUUCAUAAGCAAGCCUGCUCAAGAAGCUGCUGCAUGGAAGUCAAAAUAUGAAUUAUUGCCACCAGUCUUGAAGUCAGCUUGUAAAGAAUGCUAAGAAUUGAAUGAAAAUGCUGUCUUGAUAUCUUGUUUGUGCUGUUAUAUUUGUCUUUUGUGUUGGUUAAUUAUUCCAUGAAUAAAAAAUAAAAAAAAGUUAA
This is a long non-coding RNA of Biomphalaria glabrata, 717 nucleotides long. RefSeq lists it as uncharacterized. The record is from RefSeq and is a predicted model, not a curated record. The transcript has 5 exons. Lineage: Eukaryota; Metazoa; Mollusca; Gastropoda; Planorbidae.